GUAUUCUAAGGCGCUUGAGAGAACUCAGGAGAAGGAACUCGGCAAAUUGACACCGUAACUUCGGAAGAAGGUGUGCCUUUAGUAGGUGAAGUCCCUCGCGGAUGGAGCCCAAUGAGGUUGCAAAGAAUCGGUGGCUGCGACUGUUUAUUAAAAACACAGCACUCUGCAAACACGAAAGUGGACGUAUAGGGUGUGACGCCUGCCCGGUGCUGGAAGAUUAAAUGAUGGGGUGCAAGCUCUUGAUUGAAGUCCCAGUAAACGGCGGCCGUAACAAUAACGGUCCUAAGGUAGCGAAAUUCCUUGUCGGGUAAGUUCCGACCUGCACGAAUGGCGUAACGAUGGCCACACUGUCUCCUCCUGAGACUCAGCGAAGUUGAAAUGUUUGUGAUGAUGCAAUCUCCCCGCGGAAAGACGGAAAGACCCCAUGAACCUUUACUGUAGCUUUGUAUUGGACUUUGAACAGAUCUGUGUAGGAUAGGUGGGAGGCUUUGAAGCAGGGUCGCUAGAUCUUGUGGAGCCAACGUUGAAAUACCACCCUGGUGUGUUUGAGGUUCUAACCUAGGCCCGUAAUCCGGGUUGGGGACAGUGCAUGGUAGGCAGUUUGACUGGGGCGGUCUCCUCCCAAAGUGUAACGGAGGAGUUCGAAGGUACGCUAGUUACGGUCGGACAUCGUGACGAUAGUGCAAUGGCAUAAGCGUGCUUAACUGCGAGACUGACAAGUCGAGCAGAUGCGAAAGCAGGACAUAGUGAUCCGGUGGUUCUGUAUGGAAGGGCCAUCGCUCAACGGAUAAAAGGUACUCUGGGGAUAACAGGCUGAUACCGCCCAAGAGUUCAUAUCGACGGCGGUGUUUGGCACCUCGAUGUCGGCUCAUCUCAUCCUGGGGCUGUAGCCGGUCCCAAGGGUAUGGCUGUUCGCCAUUUAAAGAGGUACGUGAGCUGGGUUUAAAACGUCGUGAGACAGUUUGGUCCCUAUCUUCCGUGGGCGCUGCAGAUUUGAGGAAGCCUGCUCCUAGUACGAGAGGACCGGAGUGGACGCACCUCUGGUGUAUCGGUUGUCACGCCAGUGGCAUUGCCGAGUAGCUAUGUGCGGAAGAGAUAACCGCUGAAAGCAUCUAAGCGGGAAACUCGUUUCAAGAUGAGAUCUGCCGGGGCCUUGAGCCCCCUGAAGAGUCGUUCAAGACCAGGACGUUGAUAGGUCGGGUGUGGAAGCGCAGUAAUGCGUUAAGCUAACCGAUACUAAUUGCUCGUGCGGCUUGACCCU
Molecule: ribosomal RNA, 1261 nt
Filed under: metagenome
Description: bacterial LSU rRNA
Rfam family: Bacterial large subunit ribosomal RNA
Source: RNAcentral